ACGGGAGGCAGCAGCUAAGAAUAUUCCGCAAUGGACGAAAGUCUGACGGAGCGACGCCGCGUGGAUGAUGAAGGUCGGAAGAUUGUAAAAUCCUUUUAUGACUGAGGAAUAAGUGAAGUGAGAGAAACGCUUCAUGGUGACUGUAGGUCAUGAAUAAGCAACGGCUAAUUACGUGCCAGCAGCCGCGGUAACACGUAAGUUGCGAGCGUUGUUCGGAAUUAUUGGGCGUAAAGGGCAUGUAGGCGGUUUUGCAAGCUUGGUGUGAAAUCCCGGAGCUCAACUCCGGAAUUGCGUUGAGAACUGCAUAACUAGAGUCACUGAGGGGCAAUCAGAAUUCCAGGUGUAGGGGUGAAAUCUGUAGAUAUCUGGAAGAAUACCAGUGGCGAAGGCGGAUUGCUGGACGACAACUGACGGUGAGGCGCGAAAGCGUGGGGAGCAAACAGGAUUAGAUACCCUGGUA
RNAcentral lists this ribosomal RNA (460 nucleotides) under uncultured Treponema sp. RNAcentral's name for it is "bacterial SSU rRNA". It matches the Rfam family "Bacterial small subunit ribosomal RNA", at positions 341 to 792 of the family's 1533-position model. The record is from RNAcentral. Lineage: Bacteria; Pseudomonadati; Spirochaetota; Spirochaetia; Treponematales; Treponemataceae.